UACAGAGGUCUCAAGCGUUGUUCGGAUUUAUUGGGCGUAAAGGGUGCGUAGGCGGCAAUGUAAGUUGGAUGUGAAAUCUUGAGGCUUAACCUCAAAAUUGCAUUCAAUACUGCGUUGCUUGAGCGCUGUAGAGGAGAUUGGAAUUUACGGUGUAGCAGUGAAAUGCGUAGAUAUCGUAAGGAAGACCGGUGGCGAAGGCGAAUCUCUGGGCAGCUGCUGACGCUGAGGCACGAAGGCCAGGGGAGCGAACGGG
Molecule: ribosomal RNA, 253 nt
Filed under: uncultured bacterium
Lineage: Bacteria
Description: partial 16S ribosomal RNA
Rfam family: Bacterial small subunit ribosomal RNA
Source: RNAcentral